GAUGAACGCUGGCGGCGUGCUUAACACAUGCAAGUCGAACGAUGAACCUCACAUGUGGGGGGUCUAGUGGCGGACGGGUGCGUAACACGAGCGUAACCUGCCCUUGCCUCUGGGAUAAGCAUGAGAAACGGGGUCUAAUACUGGAUACGACCUUCUGGCGCAUGCCAUGUUGGUGGUAGGCUAUUGUGGUUUUGGUUGGACUCGCGGCCUUUCAGCUGUUUGGUGGGGUAAUGGCCUAGCAAGGCGACGACGGGUAGCCGGCCUGCGAGGGGGACCGGCCAGACGCGGGCUGCGACCCGGUCCAGACGCCAGCGGGAGGCAGUAGUGGGGAAUAGGGCACAGUGGGCGGAAGCCUGGUCGAGCGAGGCCGCGUGGUGUACGAAGGCUUUCGGGUUGUAAACCGGUAACAGCAGGGAAGAAGCCGGCUAUGGGGUUGGUGACGGUACCUACAGAAAAAGCGCCGGCUAACUACGUG
Molecule: ribosomal RNA, 475 nt
Filed under: uncultured bacterium
Lineage: Bacteria
Description: partial 16S ribosomal RNA
Rfam family: Bacterial small subunit ribosomal RNA
Source: RNAcentral